RNAcentral lists this unclassified non-coding RNA (300 nucleotides) under uncultured fungus. Its description in RNAcentral is "sequence contains ITS1". The stretch from base 1 to 105 matches the Rfam family "5.8S ribosomal RNA", at positions 50 to 154 of the family's 154-position model. Lineage: Eukaryota; Fungi. The record is from RNAcentral.
GAAAUGCGAUAAGUAGUGUGAAUUGCAGAAUUCAGUGAAUCAUCGAAUCUUUGAACGCACAUUGCGCCCUUUGGUAUUCCUUAGGGCAUGCCUGUUCGAGCGUCAUUUACACCCUCAAGCUCUGCUUGGUGUUGGGCGUCUGUCCCGCCUCCGGGCGCGGACUCGCCUUGAAAUCAUUGGCGGCCGGUACAUUGGCUUCGAGCGCAGCAGAAACGCGAACUCGAGGCCGGUGGAUCAGCUCCCAGAAGCUAACCCCCAUAUUUUGACCUCGGAUCAGGUAGGGAUACCCGCUGAACUUAA